Molecule: ribosomal RNA, 453 nt
Filed under: uncultured bacterium
Lineage: Bacteria
Description: bacterial SSU rRNA
Rfam family: Bacterial small subunit ribosomal RNA
Source: RNAcentral
AACGAACGCUGGCGGCAUGCCUAACACAUGCAAGUCGAACGAGACCUUCGGGUCUAGUGGCGGACGGGUGAGUAACGCGUGGGAACGUGCCCUUUGGUUCGGAAUAGCCUCGGGAAACUGGGAGUAAUACCGGAUACGGUCGAGAGACGAAAGAUUUAUCGCCGAAGGAUCGGCCCGCGUUGGAUUAGGUAGUUGGUGGGGUAAAGGCCUACCAAGCCGACGAUCCAUAGCUGGUUUGAGAGGAUGAUCAGCCACACUGGGACUGAGACACGGCCCAGACUCCUACGGGAGGCAGCAGUGGGGAAUCUUAGACAAUGGGGGAAACCCUGAUCUAGCCAUGCCGCGUGAUCGAUGAAGGCCUUAGGGUUGUAAAGAUCUUUCAGUGGGGAAGAUAAUGACGGUACCCACAGAAGAAGCCCCCGGCUAACUCCGUGCCAGCAGCCGCGGUAAAGU